This 492-nucleotide ribosomal RNA is filed under the name uncultured bacterium. Its description in RNAcentral is "partial 16S ribosomal RNA". It matches the Rfam family "Bacterial small subunit ribosomal RNA", at positions 29 to 507 of the family's 1533-position model. The record is from RNAcentral.
AGUGAACGCUGGCGGUAGGCCUAACACAUGCAAGUCGAACGGCAGCACAGUAAGAGCUUGCUCUUACGGGUGGCGAGUGGCGGACGGGUGAGGAAUACAUCGGAAUCUACUUUUUCGUGGGGGAUAACGUAGGGAAACUUACGCUAAUACCGCAUACGACCUACGGGUGAAAGCAGUGGAUCUUCGGACCUUGCCCGAUUGAAUGAGCCGGUGUCGGAUUAGCUAGUUGGCGGGGUAAAGGCCCACCAAGGCGACGAUCCGUAGCUGGUCUGAGAGGAUGAUCAGCCACACUGGAACUGAGACACGGUCCAGACUCCUACGGGAGGCAGCAGUGGGGAAUAUUGGACAAUGGGCGCAAGCCUGAUCCAGCCAUACCGCGUGGGUGAAGAAGGCCUUCGGGUUGUAAAGCCCUUUUGUUGGGAAAGAAAAGCAGCAGGUUAAUACCCCGCUGUUCUGACGGUACCCAAAGAAUAAGCACCGGCUAACUUCGUG